UCUAAUUUAGUACAGGCAUUUUAUGUCAUACAUAAAAUAAAAAUAAAAAAUCUACUCAGAAGCCACUGUUUGGCUACAUCCAUUGCACACAUGACGUGGUGAUUAAGUAAAUUCCCUUUUUCUCCCUUCACAGCUGCACAUUCAAUCUCUUAUUUCACUCAAAAUUCACACAUCCUCUCCUCCCACCCCUGCGUCAUGCUCUCGCCCCCUCUGACCCAAGCACGAUUUCGACUUCCAUUUUAGUGGAAUCAUUUACUAUCUCUUUUUUUUUUUUUUUUUUUUUUUUUUUUUUUUUUUUUUCUUCUUACAUGAUUUUGCCUUUUCUUCUUCAUUCAUUUCUCUGUGAUUUCCCCCUCCCUUCAUUCGCCCUCACUGUGAUUUCUCCCAAAUAAAUCCAUCUCCCCCCUCCCUUCAUCCUCUUAACUAGCAAGCACCUCAGUCCCCCCCGAUGUGAUUUCUCCCAUCUCAGUCCCGAGAGCCUUUGUUCCAAUCUGGUGACGAUGGCGCUCCAGACCAUACCGAAGUCCAGAGAUCUGUGGGAGGGGUUAUGGCCAUAUAAUGAGCAGCUACAACUCUAACUAUGGUGCUGAAAUGACAGAGGAUUCACUGAAGAUGCUACUCUUUUUGCAAAGAUUUUGAUUGAAUCUCAAAAUGUCCAUUCUGUUAUGUAUUUAGAUAGCCAUAAUAUUUGUAUAACUGGAUUGAUCCUGAAGUUAUGGGAAUCUAUUCUUGUACUUGAUGGCAUUUAUUUCAUGAACAUGUGGUUAAUUUGAUGAAAUCCAUGUAUGGAAAUUGUAUGCCAUUAAAUUAACCUAUGUAACAAAAACAGUUUGUGCA
This is a long non-coding RNA of Carya illinoinensis, 837 nucleotides long. RefSeq lists it as uncharacterized. The transcript has 2 exons. The record is from RefSeq and is a predicted model, not a curated record. Lineage: Eukaryota; Viridiplantae; Streptophyta; Magnoliopsida; Fagales; Juglandaceae.